This 253-nucleotide unclassified non-coding RNA is filed under the name plant metagenome. Its description in RNAcentral is "partial contains small subunit ribosomal RNA, internal transcribed spacer 1, and 5.8S ribosomal RNA". The stretch from base 1 to 54 matches the Rfam family "Eukaryotic small subunit ribosomal RNA", at positions 1778 to 1831 of the family's 1831-position model. The record is from RNAcentral.
GGAAGUAAAAGUCGUAGCAAGGUCUCCGUUGGUGAACCAGCGGAGGGAUCAUUACAGAGUUGCAAAACUCCCAAACCAUUGUGAUCGUUACCUAUCCCGUUGCUUCGGCGGGCGGCCCGGGCCCCGCACCCGGCGCCCCCCGGCCCCCCGUGGGCGCCCGCCGGAGGUAAACCAAACCCUUGAAUUGCAUGGCCUCUCUGAGUCUUCUGUACUGAAUAAGUCAAAACUUUCAACAACGGAUCUCUUGGUUCUG